RNAcentral lists this unclassified non-coding RNA (626 nucleotides) under Hevea brasiliensis (rubber tree). The record is from RNAcentral. Lineage: Eukaryota; Viridiplantae; Streptophyta; Magnoliopsida; Malpighiales; Euphorbiaceae.
GGUAGCUGAACCUUUGGCUUUCACACACUCUCUGUUUUCUAUUUCACUUCAUUGAACGAGACGAUUUGCGAGCAAUGGCAUCCUUCGAUUCUACCGGAAUUGAUGAAGAUCAGGUUUUAGUGGAAGAGAAGCGCUUUGUGAGACUAUUGACUUUAAACCGAACUAAGCAGUUGAAUGCUCUUUCAUUCACGAUGGUUUCCCGGCUAUUUGAACUCUUUGCGUCUUAUGACGCAGAUCCCAGUGUGAAACUUGUGGUUGUCAAGGGGAAAGGAAGAGCAUUUUGUGCUGGCGGUGAUGUGGCAGCCGUGGUUCAUGACAUUAAAAGGGGUGAUUGGAGAAGAGGUGCUUAUUUCUUCCAGAAAGAGUUCAUCUUAAAUUAUUUGAUGGCAACUUUCAGCAAGCCACAGGUUUCUCUCCUGAAUGGUAUUGUCAUGGGAGGAGGUGCGGGUGUUUCAAUACAUGGUAGAUUCCGUGUUGCAACAGAGAAAUCGGUGUUUGCAAUGCCUGAAACUGCUUUAGGACUCUUCCCAGAUGUUGGUGCUUCUUAUUACUUGUCAAGACUCCCGGGGUUUUUUGGCGAAUAUGUUGGGCUAACAGGUGCCAGGUUGGAUGGUGCUGAAAUGCUU